Ribosomal RNA from Phytophthora infestans T30-4, 815 nucleotides. Lineage: Eukaryota; Oomycota; Peronosporomycetes; Peronosporales; Peronosporaceae. The record is from RefSeq and is a predicted model, not a curated record.
UGCGAAGUAGAGUGGCGGCUUCGGCUGCCGAGGGUCGAUCCAUUUGGGAAAUGUUGUGUACUUCGGUAUGCAUCUCAAUUGGACCUGAUAUCAGGCAAGAUUACCCGCUGAACUUAAGCAUAUUAAUAAGCGGAGGAAAAGAAACUAACAAGGAUUCCCCUAGUAACGGCGAGUGAAGCGGGAAGAGCUCAAGCUUAAAAUCUCCGUGCAAGUUUUGCGCGGCGAAUUGUAGUCUAUAGAGGCGUGAUCAGUGUGGGCGCUUGGGGCAAGUUCCUUGGAAGAGGACAGCAUGGAGGGUGAUACUCCCGUUCAUCCCUGAGUUGCUCGUGCGUACGAUCCGUUUUCUUUGAGUCGCGUUGUUUGGGAAUGCAGCGCAAAGUAGGUGGUAAAUUCCAUCUAAAGCUAAAUAUUGGUGCGAGACCGAUAGCGAACAAGUACCGUGAGGGAAAGAUGAAAAGAACUUUGAAAAGAGAGUUAAAGAGUACCUGAAACUGCUGAAAGGGAACCGAAUCGUUUCCAGUGUCUAUAAUCCGUGGUAUAUUUCAUUGGCGAGUGUGUGCGUGCGUGUGCUGUGGCAGCGGCUUUUUUGGCUGCGCUCGGCGUGUGUGCUGUGUGUGCUUGCUGGUGCCCUGUGCUGCGGUGGGACGUCAAGGUCAGUUCGUAUGCUGCGGGAAAUGGCCGCCGAGGAGGUAGGGCUUACGCUUGCGUUUGUCUGUUAUAUCUUGGUGGACGAGUAGUCGCGGUUGGGACUGAGGUGCCUACAACGUGUUUUUGAGUGGGCCUGUGUCUCUGUGUGCGCCGUGUGCGGAUAGCUU